UCUUCUCUUUUGUCAACAGAAUAAAGCUUUUCAUAUUACAUUUUGUAUAAUAUUGGUUUCCAGCGUACCUGUUGUACUCAUUCUGGACAGAAAUCUAUUUUGCAUUAUAAUGUAUUAAAAAAAUUUGUUGGGUUGCCUAGGAAGUCGAACUUGGCAUAUGGUAUGAUGGAUGUUGUCCAGGAGUCAAUCUUUCGAUUUUGGCGGGGUUGGUGGUGCUUAGUCUUAAGUUUUCUAUGGUGUGUCUUGUGUACUGUUGUUUGUUUGUUUGUCUUUUUCUUUUAUAGCCAUGGCGCUGUCAGUUUGUUUUUGAUGUGUGAGUUUGAAUGUCCCUAUGGUAUCUUUCGCCCCUCUUUUAUUAAACUCAUUUUGAUUAUGCUCUAUUGGGUAAGGAAUGACAAAUUUUGUUUUAUAGUCGAUAGUGCACCUGUCAAGGUCACAUCUAUUGAAAGUUUAACAAAUAUUUUCUCCGAUGUUAUCUUUUUUGAACCUUCAACCAAAGUUACCUGGACAAAGCACUUUAGAAAAAAAGAGACCCAUAUUGAU
This 543-nucleotide long non-coding RNA is filed under the name Mytilus galloprovincialis (Mediterranean mussel). The record is from RNAcentral. Lineage: Eukaryota; Metazoa; Mollusca; Bivalvia; Mytilida; Mytilidae.